This 28-nucleotide non-coding RNA is filed under the name Mus musculus (house mouse). The record is from RNAcentral. Lineage: Eukaryota; Metazoa; Chordata; Mammalia; Rodentia; Muridae.
UCUUAAAUGCUGAUUGACGGACCUCAUU